RNAcentral lists this ribosomal RNA (253 nucleotides) under uncultured bacterium. RNAcentral describes it as "partial 16S ribosomal RNA". It matches the Rfam family "Bacterial small subunit ribosomal RNA", at positions 524 to 776 of the family's 1533-position model. The record is from RNAcentral.
GACAGAGGUGCCAAGCGUUAGGCGGAAUCACUGGGCUUAAAGCGUGUGUAGGCGGAUCGUUAAGUACCUUGUGAAAUCCCACGGCUCAACCGUGGAACUGCUCGGUAUACUGGCGGUCUUGAGCCACCUAGGGGCAACUGGAACAAGCGGUGGAGCGGUGAAAUGCGUAGAGAUCGGGAAGAACAUCGGUGGCGAAAGCGCUCUGCUGGACUGCAACUGACACUCAGGGACGAAAGCUAGGGGAGCGAAUGGG